CAUGCAAGUCGAGGGGCAGCGCAGAUAGCAAUAUCGGGCGGCGACCGGCGGACGGGUGCGUAACACGUAUGCAACUUACCCCAUACUGGGAAAUAGCCCGGAGAAAUCCGGAUUAAUGUCCCAUAACAUCAGGAAAGGCAUCUUUCUUGGUUAAAAGUUCCGACGGUAUGGGAUGGGCAUGCGCCCCAUUAGCUUGUUGGUGAGGUAAAGGCUCACCAAGGCAACGAUGGGUAGGGGGCCUGAGAGGGUGAUCCCCCACACUGGAACUGAGACACGGUCCAGACUCCUACGGGAGGCAGCAGUAAGGAAUAUUGGUCAAUGGAGGCAACUCUGAACCAGCCAUGCCGCGUGCAGGAAGACGGCCCUACGGGUUGUAAACUGCUUUUAUAUGGGAAGAAACCUUUGGACGUGUCCGAAGCUGACGGUACCAUAUGAAUAAGGGUCGGCUAACUCCGUGCCAGCAGCCGCGGUAAUACGGAGGGUGCAAGCGUUAUCCGGAUUCACUGGGUUUAAAGGGAGCGCAGGUGGGCUAGUAAGUCAGUGGUGAAAUCUCCGAGCUUAACUCGGAAAUUGCCGUUGAUACUAUUAGUCUUGAAUAUUGUGGAGGUUAGCGGAAUAUGUCAUGUAGCGGUGAAAUGCUUAGAUAUGACAUGGAACACCAAUUGCGAAGGCAGCUGGCUACACAAAUAUUGACACUGAGGCUCGAAAGCGUGGGGAUCAAACAGGAUUA
This 730-nucleotide ribosomal RNA is filed under the name uncultured bacterium. RNAcentral's name for it is "bacterial SSU rRNA". It matches the Rfam family "Bacterial small subunit ribosomal RNA", at positions 54 to 780 of the family's 1533-position model. The record is from RNAcentral.